ACAUAAAGAAAUCUUAGUUGUCAUGUGUCACGUUCUAAUCGAACAUGAAAAUGUGUGUCCAAGAGCCCACUCUAACAUGUUUUUGUUCAUCGUCCAAUCAAAACGUAAUACGUGACCGUCAACACAA
Glycine soja is the source of this 127-nucleotide non-coding RNA. Lineage: Eukaryota; Viridiplantae; Streptophyta; Magnoliopsida; Fabales; Fabaceae. The record is from Rfam.